Molecule: long non-coding RNA, 9470 nt
Filed under: Gossypium barbadense (sea-island cotton)
Lineage: Eukaryota; Viridiplantae; Streptophyta; Magnoliopsida; Malvales; Malvaceae
Description: long non-coding RNA (GBAR_LNC016610)
Source: RNAcentral
UUCAAUGAUUUGAUGGAAAGCAAUCUUUGAAGCUUCCGAAACCACAAAUUCCUUAGAGCAGAGGAAUUCUGUGGUGGGAAGGGUACUAGGAGCACGGUAACCGACUCGUCCAGGUUGACCAAAUUUGUUGAUCUUCUCCAAAAGCUCAGAUAUAUCCAGAAUUUUCUUCAUUGCUUGCUUGCUUAAUUGAUAUCUCCAACUCCAAUUAGGACACCAAUUGAGACACCUCUUAUUCUGUUGAAUUUCCAUCUCCAAAGUUUCCACAUUCGAUAGGAUUUCCACUGCCUUCCUUUGCAGAUCCCCUACAUCAUCUUCAACAUGUAAAAGCUGCCUUUCAGCAACCUCAGUCUCACGCUGCAGACGAGUUCGUGCCCUUACAAGUUCACCUUUUUUUUCCACCAGCUUUUCAACAUUGUCAUGAAAGUGGCGGACAUAAUCAAGUUGACGUCCCACCGGCUUUACCACAUAGUCCACAAUUAGUGUUCCAACGGCGUUAGCAAGAGCAGAGUCGCAAAAUUCACAACCCAUUCUUGACAAGCUUGAUUGAAGAAUACGAUUUUCCAAGUUCAAACACUGUAGCAAAUCAUAAGUAAUUAUCAUUAGAAAAGAAUAUUAAAGAACUAAAAAAUGUUGAAGAUGAACACCUACUUCUUAGACAUACCACGCAAGGUGAAAGACAAUUCCAAGUAUGAAAAUUAAUCGGCUUUUAUUCGAUUCAGUCCAGCUGCAGAGAAAACACAAAAAGUGAAUACUAUGAUAAACUUAUACCGACAGCAGAAUUGAUAUGAUGCCAAACUAAAAAUAAUUUUAUACCAUAGAAAUUUUGUAAGUAUGGUACAGAAUUGGUGAGAUAAGUAGAAAGAAAGAAGACUUAGUGGAGAAGCUUUUAUUACAUUUUCUUUGUUGCUUAUCAAUUCAUACUAGUUAACCAAAACAAAUAUACGAGUGUAAUGCCACCAAAUUUUAGCUUUGAUUGCUUCAAGAAAAAAAACAGAAUAAGAGAUUAUUAGAUCAAGAAAUAUAUAUAUGUAUCUAAACACAAUUAAGAAAUGAAGCAUAUAUAAAUAGCUUUACCUCACUUGAGAACUUCAAAAUCAAACUAGACUUGGUGCUGAGAAAAUGCUCCACUAGUUGAAAACAAUCAAAAGGGUUUGAAGAUUAGGUAUUUUUUGGAAUAAAAGAAAGUAAAAACUGAACACAAAGAGUAAACUUGAAGAUUUUUUUUUUUUUUUUUUUUUUGGCUUUAUGGAAAGGGGAAAUAGAAAAGAAGAGAGAUGAAGGUAGCACUAAAAUGAUGAGAAACCUUGACAAAGAAAUUGGAGUUUAUGUGCUUGGACAAUUCCAACACUGGAGAAUAUAAGGUAGGAUUUCUUGGUUUUGGUUUAGCCAAAGGAUUCGUGUUAUGAGAUUACUGUCAAUUGUAAAUUAAAGUUUCAACAAACAAUCAAUGGAUCAAAUUAUUAGUAGUUGCUUUUUAGUGGAUUGACUGGUUGAUUUGUCAAUGGCCCCAUGCAUUGAUUUCUUUUUUAAAAAUAAAAGUUAAAGAAAUAAAUUUGAAAAAUAUCUAAAAAAGAAAAGUGUUGGGACGAAAUUUUGGCCUAGUUUACGCUUGUUUUGUCGGUAAAGCAAACCUAAAUAGCGCCACUAGAAAAUGUUUAGUCUUUGCUCUCACAUUUUCACUGCAUUUAAAAAUAUGUAUUUUCUAUUGACAAAAAUAAUCUAUCUUCUUAAUUUCCAUUUGCUAUGGAAUGAAAAUUAGUUUUCCUUAAUUCAUUUUUAUUCAUUUAAAGUUAUCAUAUUUUUAUUGUUUUGUAAAUGUAUAAUGAUAAACUUAAUCCUUAACGUUUAUAUCUUUUUGUUAAUUUAGCCAUUAAUCUUAUAAAAAGAAUUGAAUUGUUGUUUUUUAACAGAAAUAUUAACUAAAAUAUUAUUUUUUUUACAUGGCAGCCCGCAUGAUAAUUCAUGUGUGCUUUAUGCUAAUUUUUAUAAUUACUUAUCAAUUUUUAUUUUUAUUUUUAAAUUAAUCGUUGGUGUGGCAUAUAAGAAAAAUAGUGUCGUGCCACGCAAGGUAUCAUGUCAAUACAUUAAAAAAAUUAAUAUUUUUAUAUAUUAAAAAAAUUGCUUGAUUGACAAUGGAAUAAAAUUUCAUUCAUUAUUAUGAAUACUAAUAAAACUAUCAAAUGUUUUUAUAACCACUCCAUUUUCAAUGGUAUAAGAUUUUUCAUUGUCAAUAAGAUUUUUUAACUUUUUCACAACAUCAUUAAAUAUUAUAUAUUAAAUUUUGGUUUUCAAAAAUUUAAAAACUCUAAAAAUAAAAAAAAAUUAAAAUCAAAAUUACAAUUACAAUUUAAAUAUAAUUUAUAUUAUCUUAUCCUUUAUUAAAAUGAUGUUACAUUUCUUUGAUAUUGUAAUUCAAAUAUGAAUUACUACUCUUUUUUAAGAUACUGCAUUACUCUCUUAAGAUACUACUUAAAAGCAAUGAUUUAGUUGAAUCCAAAUUGGUUUACUAUUUAAUAAUAUUAAUAACAUAAUUAUUAAAAGUAAAACUUUAAAAGAAAAAUAAACUAACUUAAAAUGAAAAUUAGGUCAAAUUAUUAGUUUGUAAAUCACAAUAAGCCCAAGGCUAAAACCAAAAAAUAAAAUAAAAUAUGAAAACUUAAAUCUACUCUUUAAUUGUUAUAAUUGUUGGAUACUAAUGCAUCUAUAUGCUAAAUUUAGUUUUAGUUGGUAUUUAAUUGUAAUAUUAAUUAAAUAACUUAUAAUUAUUAAUAUAAAAUAAUAAGUGUAAUUUAUUACAAAUAAAAAUAAAUAACUGAUUAAUGGAAUUAUUAUAAUCUAUUCUUAGAAUGAUGCUACCCCCAACCCCCAAACCCUUCCAACUCCACCAACUUUGCUAACUCAUUUGCCCGGAUAAACAUCAUCUUGCCAACAACAAUCCCCCCACAAACCAAACUAUCAUAGCCAACACCUAGCCUGAUAAGAUAUUGUCCAUUUUGGGCACACAUGUCUUUCACGAAUUUGUUCUCGGGAGCGACCAUAGACCCCCAAAAGACUUCUUACCACUUAAGUGUUGCUACCUCUUUAUAUAGUCUAGACCUUUCCUGUGCUUUGCUGAUGUGGGAUUUACCUAGGGUGUUACAUUCACCCCCUUAGGGACUCAACGUCUUUGCUGAGGUUUGCCCCACCAUUGCUUAAAAGGCACGACAAGUGGCUCUAAUACCAAUAAAUGUCAUAGCCAACACCCAACUCGGUAAGAUGUUGUCCACUUUGGGUGUACAUGGCCCUCACGGAUUUGUUCUUGGAAGCGUCCACACACACCCAAAAGGCCUCUUAUCACUUAUGUAAUGGCCUAAAUUCAAGGUUAUCGGAACACUGGGUUUCGGGACCACAAAUCCGAUGAGGAAAAAAUUAUUUUUCUUAUAUUUUUAUGGUCUACGAUUUCAAAAAAUGAUUUCGUGAAAAUUUCAUUUGAAAAUUUGUCCGUUUGGGCACUCAAUUUAGUCAAAAGGACUAAAUUGUAAAAAGUGUAAAAGUUGAGUUCUACAUGUUAGCGGUGUCCAAUUGUUAUGAAACUUUAAAUUGGAUGUCCUUAUAUGGUAAUUAGACCAUUGGUUAAGUUGGUAGAUAAAAAUGGACAUGAGAUAAGUGAAAUAGGAAAUUUUUAAGUUAGGGGCAAUUUUGUAAUCUAGUAAUAAAAAGAAUUAAAAAGGGAAAAAGAUGGCCAAAAAUAUCAUCUUCUCCAUGGUGAACGAAAUCAGCAAGGGAGAAGCCCUAUUUAGGGUUUUCAAGGUUCCAAGCUCCAUAGUAAGUGUUUUAGGGUGAUGAAUAGGGUAAUUUGCCCUAGUUAAAAUUUAAAUCUCGAUCCAAAAAUUAAAUAAAAAUAAAAUUGAAAAGAUUUAAACAUAUAAACAAUGAUUAAUAACCAUACUGAUAAUAUUUAGUAGAAAAAAAAUAAAAUAUAUUAUAUGUUGUAAUUAAUUAUAAAACUAACAUAUUUGUUUAUCACGUACUAUUUUAAAUCAUCAUAACAAAUAAAAUCAUACAACAAAAGAUUUUUGUAGAUUAGAAAAUUUGUUUUAUUUACUUAUUGACUCUAGCUAUUGUUUAGUUGUUUAAUAUUAUGAUUUAAUCGUUUGAGGAAAAAUAUUUUAUAUAAGAUAUUCAAACAUUAAAAAAUAUGAACUGUUUUAAAUAAAGUAAUUUUUCCAAAGUGGUUUAAUGAAACAACUACCAGAGGUUCACAAUGGAUGGAUUUUCAGGUAACCUCCUUUUAUAUAAUUGCCUUCAUUCACUUGAAUCUUCGUAUUCAAAAAGUUGUUCAUCAAUGUCUUCUUCAGUGUUCUGCACUCCAACUUAUGUUGCUACCAGCUGGCCAUGUAGUUUCCUGAGCUGUAGCAGAUUCUUCCACUAUAGUUUCAUCAACUGAUUGGCUUGCCUGCAAAACGAAUUAAAGCUUGACAUAUUACUGUUUGUUAAUGAUGAAAAUAUUGCAUGAAUUCAUAGAAAUUAAAGAGUUGGGGUGAAUACACAGAAAAGAAUUCAAUAGAUGAACAUUAGUUUGGGAGAGAAGUGCACCUGUGUUUCGGCAUGCACUGAUUGCUCUGAAUCAACACUAAACCUGGUGGUUAGGUUGGGACAACCUUCUACGUUUAACACCACCAAAGAUGGGAAAACAAAAUGAUAACCUACAGGGCUGAAGCUCAUGAGGUUUGGUAGCCUACCAAGGUCUAAGUCGGUUAAUUGUGGUAGGUGUAUCACUUUCUCUUCAUCCUUACUCACAUUUGCUUCAUCUCCUUCGAACACCUGCUCUAAUUUGGGGACGUUUACAAGCCUUAUUGUCUUCAAUUUUGGAAGGCCACCAUGGGCAGAAGUAAUCGGAAAGAGAUAUUUCAAGUUUUCACAAUUAUCUAUUAUAACUUCAGCCAGACAAGGGAAGCAAAUAGGUUGGAGAUGAUGUUGUGAUGACUUUUGAUCCUUGUCAAUAAUUUGCUCCAAUUCCUCACAACAAGAUAUAUGUAACUGGCUCAGUCGUGGCAAAUUUCGAGCAAUGGUAGGUGAGAAGAUGUAUCUUAAGCUUAUACAGUCUCCAACAUUCAAUUCAGUGAGAUUUUGAAAGUUUACAGCUUGGAUGGGACCAUUCCAUAUCACUCGCAAUUCGGUUAGUCCAAACAAAUUUAGGAACUUCAGGCUUGAAAGGUUAUAACUAGAAUCAAAUAACUCUCUAAAAUUGGAAAUUUUUAAAUAUUCCAUACUUACUGAUGAUCCUCCUUCCCCCAUCAUGUUGCUCAUUUUCUUCCUUUCUUCCAUCCUCCGAAGGGUCAAUUUCUAUAAACAUAUCAUCAAUCAUCAAUUUCAAAAUGUUGAAAGCAAUGAACAACUUAUCACUCAUUUUGUUAAUAAAUUUUCUUACAUAGCAUUUAUUAAUUUUAAAAAAAAUCAAAUUAUUCAAGUUUAAACGCUUUUGUACGAAUUCUUUUAUCUAAUUCUUUUUCCUUCAAGAAUAAGCCCAAUUUUUUUUUUCCUAUCUUUUAUAGCCAAUUAUAUCAAAUUACAAAAAACUAGAUGAAUCAUUAGACCAAAACUAUAAAAUAAUAUACAAGCAUUUGUAUAGUUCAGAAAGUAAAUUAUCAAGAGGGGAAAAUCAAUAAAAGAUUAAUAAACAAUAUAUAAAACUUACUUGUAUUUUAGUUGAAAUGAUAAAAGGUGUCAAUCCGGGACAAUUCACCACUUUUAACUUCUGCAAUGAUGAAAGGGUGAGCACAAUCUCGUUUCCAUCCCUUCCUUUGAAUUGAGGUAAAUUUCCCAACACAACCUCAUUCAGUAGAGGAAGACCUUGAGCCAUUGAGAUUGGAAAAGUGUCUUCCAAUUGAAGGCAAUCGUAAAUUUCAAGUUUUGUCAAACUUUUCAAUAUGUGACCAUGGGACAAUGAGGAAAGAGAUGUCAACUUGUUGCAUCCAUGUACAAAUACUUCCAUUAGACUAUGGAGACAUACGUUGGAUGCCUCUUUUGCUUUGAUUAUCUCUUCCAAUCCAAAGCACCAACUUAUUUGUAGAGUUCGCAAUCCCCCAAGGCUAUUAGCAAUAGACAUUGGGAAGAGAUACCUCAAAUUAUUGCAGUUUACAACUUUUAUUUCCUUUAAACAUUGAAGGCUUAUGUUUGACACUUGUGGCUCUUGGAUUAUUUCUUCUAACUGGGAGCAGUUGCUUAUCUCCAGAGUUUGCAAAUUGGACGCACUUAGAAGUUUUGGAAAGCCUCCAUGAGCAACAGUAAUCGGGAAGAGACAUUUUAAGUUUUCACAAUUGAAGAUACUAAUCUGAGUCAAAUUAGGAAAGCAAAUAGGUUGGAGUCGAUGAUCAUGUGAUGAAGUUUGAUCCUUCUCAGUAAUCUGCUCCACUUCUUCACAAUUAAAUAUAUCUAUAUUGCUCAAUUGCUCACUUGUUAUUCUCCGUAGCUCCAAUUUCUAUAAACAAAUCAUUUCAAAAUGUUUAAAGAAAGUGAACAACUUAUCAUUUUACUAAUUAAUUUCUCUUACAAAUCAUAAAAAGUCUCUUAAUGAAAUUUUAUCUGAGUUAUUAAAUGGUAUUAUAGUCAGCUAACUGUAAUUUGGAUUAGUUUGUAGACCAAAAUUAUAAAAUGAAAACUAUGUAUCCUUUAAACAGCUAUGCAAGCAUUUUCUCAAUUGGGAUAACCAAUUAUUAGCAAGGGAAAAAAAAGAAAGAAAAGGAAGCAAUUCAAUUAAUAAUUAAUAAUUUAUAAAUCUUACUUGUAUUUUAGCCGAAAUGAUAAGAGGUGUCAACCGGGGACAAUCAUCCACUAGUAACUCCUGCAACCUGUGACCAUGGGACAAUGAGGAAAGAGAUGUCAACUUAUUGCAUUCACUUACUCUUAUUUUCCUUAGACUUUGGGGGCUUAUGUUUAACACUUCUGUCCCUUGUAUUAUUUCUUCCAAUUGUGAGCAUCUCCGUAUAUCCAGAGAUUGCAAUUGCCCAAGGCUAUUAUUAGCAGCUGACAUUGGGAAGAGAUAUUUCAAACUGUUGCAGUCACUUAUUUGUACAACCUUUAGGCUUUGGAGGCUUAAAUGAUGAUUGGGCCACUGUUCUAUGCUCCUCAAUUCAACAGUCUGGAAUAGCACUUGCAUUUUACCACAUUGAUGAACUUGAAGCUCUUCAAGAUUUUGUAAAAUUGGAAUUGCACCAAUCAUUUCAUUGCAAUCCCUUAAGGACAAGGUUUCUAACUUUUGUAAGAAACCUUGUGGUUGAGGGCCAUUGCACAGCUCUUCUAAAGCAAGCAUAGAUGCUAAUGAUAAGCUUCUCAAAUUAGAGAAUGCAGUGGUUGGCACCUGUUGCUUUGAUGCAUCAAUUAGGCAUUUCAUACCAUUGCAACUACGAAGAUCUAGAGAAGCCAACUUACUGAUUUCCAACUCCAAGCUUGGAAUAAGGUUUGGAGAGCCCUGCACUCCUAUCAGGUCAAGAGAUUCUACAUCUUCAAAUAGUUGCUUGCAUGCAUCUAUGGACUCUUUAAAUAUUGUCAAAGAUCUUGAGAUUGGACAAGGUUCAAAUGGCGUCCUCCAAACCAAACUAAUGAGAACAUCAAAUCUCCAUAAUUUAGGAAACACAAAGCCAUCUGAAAGAUAUUGAGGAUACAAAUCCAACGAUAGUACACCCAACUUGGGCAAUAAAUUCAACUCUGAUAGGCUAGAAUAGCAUUCUUUUUCAGUUGUGUUCUCAGUCGCCCAUAUUAUUGAGCUAGAACCAUGCAAGUAUAGUUCUUCUAAACUGGACAAUCUUUGUAUUAAUCGAUGAGGGAUUCUUCGUAGGUUUGUGCAAUUUGACAACUCCAAAAGUCUUAGAUUUUCUAAAUCACCAAUUUCGUUCGGCAAUUCAGAGAUAAGAGAUCCACUUAAGGAAAAAAUCUCAAGUGUCUUCAACUUCCCAACCAUUGAGAUGUCAGAGAAUCUACAGUUACACAACUUCAAUGUUUUAAGGUUCAUUUGGAAUUGAAAUGCAACUGGAGAUAACAAUAGAUCAGCCAAAGUACAAGCUUUUAAUGCUUUCAUACCCUCAAAGAAUUCACUUGAAGUUUCCAUGCGACCCUUACCUGUUCCACCAAGUAAAAGAAAUUUGAGAUUUGGGAAAACCAAUCCUUCGGGAAGUUCACCCAUUUGAUCACGGUUGAAGGAGAUUGCUAUGAAAUGCUUGAAACUUUCAUCCAUCGGCAAUGUUCCAACACUCGCAAAAGAAAACUCCUCUCUGGAGGAUGCAAUCCAUAAAGCAACUUCACGAACCACAUCAUGCAUUUUGACAUGCCCUUUUCUUCUGCAAUCUAACAACAAACAAGAGUUCUUGAGGAUCUCAGUCGAUGCAAGCACUUCACUUCUAACUUUUUCAAUUGAGUUGAUACCUUUAUACAACUCCAAUCCCCAUGCAUAUCUCACCAAGUCCUCCACAUAAAUCUCAUAAUCUUCGGGAUAUAAAGAGCACAAUAAGAAACAAGUCUUCGUCUCCAUACCCUUCAAGUAAUCGAAGCUCGCCUCAAGACAUAGAUAAGCAUUUUCUUCAUUAACAUCUUCAAUUUCAGUUAAUCUACGACCUUUGAGUCUCCGAUAUGCCGCUUUCCACUCGUGACAACUUUUACCUUUCAAAGCACUUCCCAACGAAACUAUAGCAAUGGGCAAACCUUGGCAUUUUCUGAUGAUUUUAGUUGCCACCUUUCUAAUAGCGUCAUCAGCAGAGCCAUUUAAACUUGCUUUCGUUGCAAACAAAUUCCAAGCUUCAUCGCCAUCUAAACAACCCAGUUGUACCACCUUUUGACAAUCCAUAGCAAGGCAUACUUGUUGACGGCGUGUUGUUAAAAGAACUUUGCAACCUUUAUGAUCUUCGCCAGUCGGAAUUCCUAUCUUCUCCUUUAAGUUGAUAUUUGUCCAAAUAUCAUCAAGGAUAAUAAGAAUCCUCUGUUCCUUCUUCAGUCUCAACCAUAAAUCUUGCACUGAUCUUCUUCCUCGUUCAUUCUUCAUAUCAAAGUCUAUGAAUUGUGCAAUUUGAUCUUGAAUUACUUCGAAGUUUGGAUUUUGAGACACAGUUGUAAUCACAACUUUAUUGAACAAAUUCAGUUUUUCAGCUUGAUUUCCAACUUCACGAGCCAAGGUGGUUUUGCCCACCCCUCCCAUCCCCCACAAUCCAAUCAUGCUGAUAUUGUCAUCUUGUAGGGCUUCAAUGAUUUGAUGGAAAGCAAUCUUUGAAGCUUCCGAAACCACAAAUUCCUUAGAGCAUAGGAAUUCUAUGGUGGGAAGGGUACUAGGAGCACGGUAACCGACUCGUCCAGGUUGACCAAAUUUGUUGAUCUUCUCCAAAAGCUUAGAUAUAUCCAGAGUUUUCUUCAUUGCUUGCUUGCUUAGUUGAUAUCUCCAACUCCAAUUAGGACACCAAUUGAGACACCUCUUAUUCUGUUGAAUUUCCAUUUCCAAAGUUUCC